This is a long non-coding RNA of Fukomys damarensis (Damara mole-rat), 619 nucleotides long. RefSeq lists it as uncharacterized. NCBI's taxonomy places the organism in Eukaryota, Metazoa, Chordata, Mammalia, Rodentia, Bathyergidae. The transcript has 5 exons. The record is from RefSeq and is a predicted model, not a curated record.
GUUCCCAUAACACGUUCGUUCAGUAGAUUCCACGUUCCGGCUCUAGCCCUGUCAGGCAGACAACCGGGAGAGGCACUUGGCCGCUCUGAGGUCUCCAGGGAGAGAGCAGAAACUGUCUUCUGUAUAGCUGGUCACAUCACCGUCUGUGUGCGCAUGUUCAGAAAUGCUCGGGCCCUGGCACUGUCAUUGGCUGUGAUUCAGGAUGUCUGAAAGAAUAGAGAGGACAGACGUUGGGACUCAGCCGAGCCGACAAAGGAGACACGGCCUCUUUUCUCAACUAUCUCGAAAGUGGAUGGGAAGGACAGGAUGUAAAUAUUGGCCCUGACAUCAAAAGGCGUGGAUUUCGGCUGCGUGGUUUACUGGAUAAAUAAAUUGGUGGUGCCUGAGCCAGCUGUCAGAGUGGGAGCUGAUGGAGAGCAAGGAGGCCGCCUCCUGGAAUAGCAGAUGGAAGCCUUGUCUUCCCCGGGCUGUCCUGACGCUGCGCUCCACUUAGUGAGCUGGUUGAAUGGAGCAAAGAGCCAUACUUUCCAUCAACUAGAGAUUGCACACCCCUCAGAUACAGCAUCGUGGCCCAUGACUGGGACAGAACGGACUUUAAGCGAAUCACAAUGUCCUGAAG